AUGGCUGGCACAGGACCCCCGGGGCACGGCAGGUGCCCGUUGCCCGCUCCGCCAGCGGCUGCAUUCCCCAAAAGCACACCAUCCCAUCGUGUCUGCUGCCUCCUGACCCCCGGCCCUUAUCUCAUCCCACAUCACCUUCCUGCGUUUCCUGGCCUCUCCCUGCCCCGGGCCAUCCCUGGGUCUCCGGAGCGAGCCGUGGCCACGCCCGAGCUGGCGCGGGUUACCAGCAGCCGCGGGGCUGGGACCGCUCGCCGCCGGGCCCGGGCUUCGCGCUCGUCCUGGCCGCUGGGGCCUCGGAGAGCGGCGGCAGGAGCGAGGCAUCACCCGAGCGCUGACAGGCGCCUCUCCGCCUUCCCCGCCCGGCGCAUUCGCCUUGCCACGUGCAGAACCCGGCAGGCGCGGACCGCCAGCGCCCUCGCGGUUGCCGUGGCUACGCACGAGCGGCCGCAGCUGACCCAGGCGGGGCCUCCCUCCGCCGCCUCCGCCUCGGGCUCCGUCCCCGCUCGGUUAGGGAACCCCAAGCCCCCGGCCCCUACAAGCUGUGCACACCUGCAGCAGACCCGUUUCUGCAAAGCUUCUGAAGAAAAGAAAACAACUUCAAAGCGCUUGGAAAAGUUGUUGAAUAGGAAAGCUGGCUGUCCUGGAAAUCCCGGCUACUGCUCUGUAACACAAGGCACCUCACCUGUCUCUGCUCAGGCACACAGGUGCUGGGACAGGGAAGAAGAGGAGUUCCAGGCACAUGAGCUGGGAGUGCCAAAGAACAGACACACAGCUGGCACUGAAGGGAGGAGCCAGCUAACAUCUAAGACCAACAGCCCUUCAAACGGCCCUUCAGACUGUGCUGUGGAAGCCAGGGCAGCACCUCCAGACCAUUUAUCCCCACUUCCAAGUUCUGCAAGACAAGUUGUUGUGAUCGUCAAGUUCUGGAAGACUAACUGUCAUGGUCUUGUCUCCAGGGGAUCAUCGCCUUAUGACUGUGGAGAAUGUGUUGAGACUAUUUGCAGAAAGGAUUGUCCAAUGCCAGACAAAAUGGAUUUGAAAAAUGCCUGGUGCAAUGGGGAAAAAGGAUAG
This 1071-nucleotide long non-coding RNA is filed under the name Oryctolagus cuniculus (rabbit). Its description in RNAcentral is "lncRNA (ENSOCUG00000036635.1)". The record is from RNAcentral. Lineage: Eukaryota; Metazoa; Chordata; Mammalia; Lagomorpha; Leporidae.